Pelobates cultripes (western spadefoot toad) is the source of this 1131-nucleotide non-coding RNA. The record is from the annotation of a GenBank genome assembly. Lineage: Eukaryota; Metazoa; Chordata; Amphibia; Anura; Pelobatidae.
UUUUUUAUUUUUUUUUUGUGGAACAUUAGUGUUCAAUAAUUUUCCUAAUGCUAUAGUGUCCUAGUCACCCUUUAGGUGACCAGCCAGGCUUAAAGUAUAAAAUAGUGUUGGGAAUACAAGCAUGUUAUCUUAACACUAUAUAGCUCUCUGCCUUCCCUCUCCCUUGGUCAAUAAAUGGUAAGAUGAAGUGGUCUGGGUGCCAGGGUGUUCCUUUUUUAACCCCCCUACCUCCCCAAUUUUCUGGAAAUCUUAAACAUGAUCAUGUGUUUGCAAAUAAUGGUGAUCACAUGCUUUGCUUAGAUUAGGUUAAGAAAUAGUAGACUAAUAUACAUCGCAUUGAAGGGUGCAUUGUGUGGACCAGUCACAGGCUUUUCAUUGUAGUGCUUGUGAUUGGACCAUUUAUUUAAAUUUAUGUUGUUGAAAUUUUCAUUUUUAAGACCAAUGUAGGACUUUGGUUUUUACUAUAUGUAUUAGCUGAUGUGUACUAUGGUCAUUGCUGCUGCCCAGGAGUAAUGGGAGUUGGAGCACAGGACUAGUUUAUUUGUAUUCACUUUUGUAUCACACAGCUAGGUUGCAAUGCUGCUGCCCAUCCCAUGUGUUCCAUAUUAAGGGUUAAUAAGCAUGUAGGAAUGUAUAUAAAAAAAAAAAAAAAAAUACCCCUUUCUGUCUCAGAGAUAUUUUUGCCAGAAGCUCAAGGAAGCAAGGCAAAUUGUUAGUUAGGACCCACCUAAGAGGUGUUCCUUGAUGUGGCAGGUGGGCUUACCCUCUCAUGGCCAUUGGAGGUAACUAAAAACCUCCAUUUGUUUAAAAAUACAUAGGGGUGUGGAAAGAGCGCAGGUAACUUUUUUUUUUUUUUUUCUCUUGGUUUUAAUAAAGAGGCUUUAAACAUUCUGAAUAGAUCUCCUGGAAAAAUAUACUAAAAAGUUGCCAAGCCUAUGGGUGUCUAUGCUCGUGGUGCCCCUGGGGAACUGCCUAGCAUGUCCAUGCAUGAAGACAGCUCUGGUUGGGUUGCAGGGGGUGGUUUAUUGAAAGGAAAUACACAAAUUUAAACUUGACCACUAUUUCAGUGCUUACUUUAGAAUUGGCAUUGCUAAAAAACAAAAUAUUGCUGAAAACAAAAAAUAAAUAUUA